Molecule: long non-coding RNA, 429 nt
Organism: Hypanus sabinus (Atlantic stingray)
Lineage: Eukaryota; Metazoa; Chordata; Chondrichthyes; Myliobatiformes; Dasyatidae
Exons: 3
Source: RefSeq, a predicted model, not a curated record
GUGGGAGUGAGACUGUGAGGUGGCUAGUGUCCUGUCAGACUCCACGAUCUACAGCUGUGUUCAAACUAUGUUCUUCACAAACUCGCUUUGUGGCUUGGAAGACACAUGUCUUUGGGGAUUCUUUUGAACACCUUUACAUGCUGACUUCGGUUCUUUGAGGGAAUGGGACCCGCUUUCGGGGUUCCACAAUUGGCCGCUAUUCGGCAUGCCAAAGUCUCGGCCUAUGCUUUUGGCACGGUGUUGGGGAAGUUGGAACAGCUGCUGUGUGCCUGGGGACCCAGGAUCCAGGUACAGAGCUCGAAAAAAGCUAUGUAAUGGACUUUUAACAUCAUAAACCAGCGAGUUGUUUGUCAUCUCUCCCCACUCGUUGGAAAAUGGAAUCACCUCUUCCUCCUUUGUCAGGAGAGUGAGAGCCUGCAGCAUGUUGUA